UUUGGCGGCAAUAGCGCGGUGGUCCCACCUGACCCCAUGCCGAACUCAGAAGUGAAACGCCGUAGCGCCGAUGGUAGUGUGGGGUCUCCCCAUGUGAGAGUAGGGAACUGCCAGAC
This 116-nucleotide ribosomal RNA is filed under the name Providencia sp. JUb39. The record is from RNAcentral. Lineage: Bacteria; Pseudomonadati; Pseudomonadota; Gammaproteobacteria; Enterobacterales; Morganellaceae.